AUGCGUCUCCUGAAACAGCAACACCAGGGUGGAAGGCCUUGGCUUUGCCUUGGUGACUUUAACGAGAUCUUGACAAGUUUGGAGAAAGCAGGAGGGGCAGCCCGGCCACAACACUACCUGGAUGGCUUCAGGGAGGCACUACAAAUCUGCGAACUGGGUGAUAUUGGCUUCGAGGGGGACAUUUUCACUUGGAGGAACCAUAAUAUUUGUGAGAGAUUGGACAGGGCCACCUCGAAUGAGGAAUGGUGCGAGCAGUUCCCGGCUUAUACAGUGGUUAAUGGCCCUCCUAGACACUCAGACCAUCGGCCAAUUAUU
Molecule: ribosomal RNA, 315 nt
Filed under: Triticum aestivum (bread wheat)
Lineage: Eukaryota; Viridiplantae; Streptophyta; Magnoliopsida; Poales; Poaceae
Description: partial small subunit ribosomal RNA
Source: RNAcentral